GACGAACGCUGGCGGCGUGCCUAAUACAUGCAAGUCGAACGAGAGCGACCGGUGCUUGCCCUGGUCAAUCUAGUGGCGAACGGGUGAGUAACACGUGGGUAACCUGCCCAUCAGAGGGGGAUAACAUCCGGAAACGGAUGCUAAAACCGCAUAGGUCUUCGAACCGCAUGGUUUGAAGAGGAAAAGAGGCGCAAGCUUCUGCUGAUGGAUGGACCCGCGGUGCAUUAGCUAGUUGGUGAGGUAACGGCUCACCAAGGCCGUGAUGCAUAGCCGACCUGAGAGGGUGAUCGGCCACAUUGGGACUGAGACACGGCCCAAACUCCUACGGGAGGCAGCAGUAGGGAAUCUUCCGCAAAGGACGCAAGUCUGACGGAGCAACGCCGCGUGAGUGAAGAAGGUGUUCGGAUCGUAAAACUCUGUUGUUAGAGAAGAACAAGUGCUAGAGUAACUGUUAGCGCCUUGACGGUAGCUAACCAGAAAGCCACGGCUAACUACGUG
This 498-nucleotide ribosomal RNA is filed under the name uncultured bacterium. Its description in RNAcentral is "partial 16S ribosomal RNA". It matches the Rfam family "Bacterial small subunit ribosomal RNA", at positions 28 to 507 of the family's 1533-position model. The record is from RNAcentral.